GGCAUUGCGCAGCUACCAUGCAGUCGAGCGGAACGAGUUAUCUGAACCUUCGGGUGGCGAUAACGGCGUCGAGCGGCGGACGGGUGAGUAAUGCCUAGGAAAUUGCCCUGAUGUGGGGGAUAACCAUUGGAAACGAUGGCUAAUACCGCAUGAUGCCUACGGGCCAAAGAGGGGGACCUUCGGGCCUCUCGCGUCAGGAUAUGCCUAGGUGGGAUUAGCUAGUUGGUGAGGUAAGGGCUCACCAAGGCGACGAUCCCUAGCUGGUCUGAGAGGAUGAUCAGCCACACUGGAACUGAGACACGGUCCAGACUCCUACGGGAGGCAGCAGUGGGGAAUAUUGCACAAUGGGCGCAAGCCUGAUGCAGCCAUGCCGCGUGUGUGAAGAAGGCCUUCGGGUUGUAAAGCACUUUCAGUCGUGAGGAAGGUAGUGUAGUUAAUAGCUGCAUUAUUUGACGUUAGCGACAGAAGAAGCACCGGCUAACUCCGUGCCAGCAGCCGCGGUAAUACGGAGGGUGCGAGCGUUAAUCGGAAUUACUGGGCGUAAAGCGCAUGCAGGUGGUUUGUUAAGUCAGAUGUGAAAGCCCGGGGCUCAACCUCGGAAUAGCAUUUGAAACUGGCAGACUAGAGUACUGUAGAGGGGGGUAGAAUUUCAGGUGUAGCGGUGAAAUGCGUAGAGAUCUGAAGGAAUACCGGUGGCGAAGGCGGCCCCCUGGACAGAUACUGACACUCAGAUGCGAAAGCGUGGGGAGCAAACAGGAUUAGAUACCCUGGUAGUCCACGCCGUAAACGAUGUCUACUUGGAGGUUGUGGCCUUGAGCCGUGGCUUUCGGAGCUAACGCGUUAAGUAGACCGCCUGGGGAGUACGGUCGCAAGAUUAAAACUCAAUGAAUUGACGGGGGCCCGCACAAGCGGUGGAGCAUGUGGUUUAAUUCGAUGCAACGCGAAGAUCCUUACCUACUCUUGACAUCCAGAGAACUUUUCAGAGAUGGAUUGUGCCUUCGGGAACUCUGAGACAUGUGCUGCAUGCCUGUCGUCAGCUCGUGUUGUGAAUUGUUGGGUUAGUCCCGCCACCGAGCGCAACCCCUUAUCCUUUGUUUGGCAGCGAAGUA
RNAcentral lists this ribosomal RNA (1109 nucleotides) under Vibrio neocaledonicus. Its description in RNAcentral is "bacterial SSU rRNA". It matches the Rfam family "Bacterial small subunit ribosomal RNA", at positions 38 to 1128 of the family's 1533-position model. Lineage: Bacteria; Pseudomonadati; Pseudomonadota; Gammaproteobacteria; Vibrionales; Vibrionaceae. The record is from RNAcentral.